AUUGAACGCUGGCGGCAUGCCUUACACAUGCAAGUCGAACGGUAACGGGCCUUCGGGUGCCGACGCGUGGCGAACGGGUGAGUAAUACAUCGGAACGUGCCCGAUCGUGGGGGAUAACGAGGCGAAAGCUUUGCUAAUACCGCAUACGAUCUACGGAUGAAAGCAGGGGACCGCAAGGCCUUGCGCGGACGGAGCGGCCGAUGGCAGAUGAGGUAGUUGGUGGGAUAAAAGCUUACCAAGCCGACGAUCUGUAGCUGGACUGAGAGGAUGAUCAGCCACACUGGGACUGAGACACGGCCCAGACUCCUACGGGAGGCAGCAGUGGGGAAUUUUGGACAAUGGGCGCAAGCCUGAUCCAGCCAUGCCGCGUGCAGGAUGAAGGCCUUCGGGUUGUAAACUGCUUUUGUACGGAACGAAAAGCCUUCUUUUAAUACAGGAGGGUCAUGACGGUACCGUAAGAAUAAGCACCGGCUAACUACGUG
This 482-nucleotide ribosomal RNA is filed under the name uncultured bacterium. Its description in RNAcentral is "partial 16S ribosomal RNA". It matches the Rfam family "Bacterial small subunit ribosomal RNA", at positions 30 to 507 of the family's 1533-position model. The record is from RNAcentral.